This is a long non-coding RNA of Leopardus geoffroyi (Geoffroy's cat), 1640 nucleotides long. RefSeq lists it as uncharacterized. NCBI's taxonomy places the organism in Eukaryota, Metazoa, Chordata, Mammalia, Carnivora, Felidae. The record is from RefSeq and is a predicted model, not a curated record. The transcript has 2 exons.
GAGCCACCCAGGUGCCCCGCCCCCUGUUGUUUUUUUUAAAAGGGACUUUACUUACGCGGCAUGUUGAGUGUCUCCUGUACGUCUGCAUUCAGGGAGAGGGGACAAUGAAUGUGAGAAAUAUGUUCCUGCCCUGGUAAAGCUUCCCAGCCAGGGAGUAAAACUGGCCCGUGCUACCAUAUUUCCAGAAGGAAGGGAGUAGUACCGUGAAGUGAUGACAGACUCCUGUGAGAAGUGAGAAAAACAAGAUCGGAGAGGUUGAGCGAUUUGCCCAAGGGCACACAGCUAGUUUGAGAGUGGGGCCUCACCUGCAGUUAGAAAUUGCAGGGGAGACGCCCCCCCCAGUGGGUCUUGCCCGUGGUGGUUUUCCAGAUUUCACGAUUAAGUGAGAAUGGAGUGUAACGCAGGGUUUGGACACACCAGUGACAAGCUCAGGGAGGACGGCCACGUGUCUCCCAGCUCCACGAGGAGACCCUCUGAGCUGUGGGGUUCUGAGCCACGGGUUCAGCCAGGCUCCCCUUCCCUUCCCUGGGUCCUCCUCCCAGCAAGGAACCCAGGCUGAUCCGAGCUGAGACUUUUCCUCCUAGGAAGGUCCUGGAUGGGUCUGGACAGGUUCAGAGAAGGGCCCCGAGGCGGGAGAAAGGAAAUUGAGCCUCGCCUUUCUAGGAUACCCGGAGCCACCACCGUUUUCAGGAGUUGGCCGGGCUCCGCCCUCAGCCCCUUCAAGUCUGAACUCCCAGAAUAAUUAACCACUCACUGCAGGGUCCUGGCCUCUGCCAGAGCCCAUCCUACCCACCGGCUGUGUUCCCGGCAGGAACUUGCCGCCCUGGAUAACAAGGAUGAUGAAAUUUUCGUCCGCUUGGCAAAUAUUUGCCGGAACACCCCUCCUGUGUCAGGGACAGUCAGAAGUCUCCCAGCCUCGUCUAACCAGCCGCACUGGGUCGUGUUCACUCCUUGGAUCAUUGCCACGAGGGAUCAGGGCCCGAAGCCCCCACCCCGCACACGGCGGACUGAAUAAUGAAUCGGUCCCGGGGCCGUGGAAGCAGGGCUGCACGUGGCCCCCGAAAGGUCUGCCUUCCAGAUCCUUCAGGCCGGGGCGGGGCUCAAGUCGCCCAGGCUGAGAAAUGAGAGCAAAUUCUAGAUGGGAUGUCAGGUGGCCUGAAAAGGUGACUCAGACGCAGGAGGCAGAACUGAUGGCCAAGGCAGCGACUGGAUUGGAUCUGAUGUAAACACAACAACAAAGAGUCGAGGCUGAUCAGAAUGUUCUGACAUCUGAACGUGGGGAGGGGAGGGCUGAACCCCAAAUCCCCGCAGGGCUGAGUGACAUCUUAGCCACGGAACUGACGGCUGAUGUGAGACAAGCCAGGGAUGCUGCUAACACGACCCUCACAACAGCGUGAGCCGGAUACAGUUUAGAAGUGGGGAAACUGAGGUGCAGAGAGGUUAAGUGACUCUGCCAAGGUCCCCUGGCUAGCAAGCCACAAAGGCUGGCUGGCAUCCUUGUCUGGGAGCCUGUGCCCCUUAAUCAAUCACCUCUCCUCCUCUCUCGCUUGCCUUCAGAAGCCCAGUUUAGAGCCUUAUUAAAAAGCACCUGAAAGUUGCUCUUCCCAGAAGGGGACAGCAGGGGGCGGUGUAACCAGCAA